AUUGAACGCUGGCGGAAUGCUUUACACAUGCAAGUCGAACGGCAGCACGGGAGCAAUCCUGGUGGCGAGUGGCGAACGGGUGAGUAAUAUAUCGGAACGUGCCCGGUCGUGGGGAUAACGUAGCGAAAGCUACGCUAAUACCGCAUACGAUCUACGGAUGAAAGCGGGGGAUCGCAAGACCUCGCGCGAUUGGAGCGGCCGAUAUCAGAUUAGGUAGUUGGUGGGGUAAAGGCUCACCAAGCCAACGAUCUGUAGCUGGUCUGAGAGGACGACCAGCCACACUGGAACUGAGACACGGUCCAGACUCCUACGGGAGGCAGCAGUGGGGAAUUUUGGACAAUGGACGCAAGUCUGAUCCAGCCAUUCCGCGUGCAGGAUGAAGGCCCUCGGGUUGUAAACUGCUUUGUACGGAACGAAAGGUUUCUCUUAAUACGAGGAGCUCAUGACGGUACCGUAAGAAUAAGCACCGGCUAACUACGUGCCAGCAGCCG
RNAcentral lists this ribosomal RNA (491 nucleotides) under uncultured bacterium. RNAcentral's name for it is "bacterial SSU rRNA". It matches the Rfam family "Bacterial small subunit ribosomal RNA", at positions 30 to 517 of the family's 1533-position model. The record is from RNAcentral.